CUUGGUCAUUAGAGGAAGUAAAAGUNGUAACAAGGUUUCNGUAGGUGAACUUGNGGAAGGAUCAUUA
Molecule: ribosomal RNA, 67 nt
Filed under: Megalospora coccodes
Lineage: Eukaryota; Fungi; Ascomycota; Lecanoromycetes; Teloschistales; Megalosporaceae
Description: partial 18S ribosomal RNA
Rfam family: Eukaryotic small subunit ribosomal RNA
Source: RNAcentral